This 422-nucleotide ribosomal RNA is filed under the name uncultured bacterium. Its description in RNAcentral is "bacterial SSU rRNA". It matches the Rfam family "Bacterial small subunit ribosomal RNA", at positions 355 to 774 of the family's 1533-position model. The record is from RNAcentral.
UAAGGAAUAUUGGUCAAUGGACGCAAGUCUGAACCAGCCAUGCCGCGUGGAGGAUUAAGGCCCUCUGGGUUGUAAACUCCUUUUAUCUGGGAAGAAAUGUACUUUUUCUUGAGUACUUGACGGUACCAGAGGGAUAAGCACCGGCUAACUCCGUGCCAGCAGCCGCGGUAAUACGGAGGGUGCAAGCGUUAUCCGGAUUCACUGGGUUUAAAGGGUGCGUAGGUGGGCAGGUAAGUCAGUGGUGAAAUCUCCGGGCUUAACCCGGAAACUGCCGUUGAUACUAUUUGUCUUGAAUAUUGUGGAGGUAAGCGGAAUAUGUCAUGUAGCGGUGAAAUGCUUAGAUAUGACAUAGAACACCAAUUGCGAAGGCAGCUUACUACACAAUCAUUGACGCUGAGGCACGAAAGCGUGGGGAUCAAACA